GUUGAACAAAUAGAAAAACAAUAUGUUAAAAAUUGUUUGUCUUGAGUGAAGAAAUUAUUUUAAUUUAGACAGCAUGUAGAUGUGGUUCAAGAACGAUCUAGAAUACUUGUAAUAACCGGUUAUUAAUUGGCCGGAUGUAACCCGAUUAAGGGUAAAAACGUAAAAUACUAUGAAUAUAAAAAUAAAAUGAUAGAAAGAAAGAGAUUAAAACAGAAAGGAAAAACGGAAAGAAGAAGGGGAAGAAGGAGGGCGGCUAGGAGAAAGGGAGGACGGUUUGGGGGCACCGGUGUCGUGGUGUGGUAGGUGUGAGGCUCGACAGGCAGCGAAAGAGGUAUGUAGAGUUUUAGAUUUGGAAAUGAGAUAAGGGGUAUCUUGAUGGGAAGAAAGGGUAGAUGUGAAUGAAAGAAGCAUCGGGAGUAGAUCCGAUCUUGAUGAAUGUGUUCAUGGAUGAUAAAGGAGUGAAAUGGUAGGAUACCCAAACACCUUGGGUCAUCCGAUCCAUGGAUUUGACUAUCGUUGGCUCGCUGUGGGUGAUUGGGUUUAGUUGGGUUUAAUAUUUUAUUGUCAUCUUUAGUAUGUUAUUGUUUUGCUUUACAGCCGUUUAAUAUUUUAUUAUAUCGUGAUGGGUUUAAUAUUUUAUUGUCAUCUUUAGUAUGUUAUUGUUUCAUUCUACUGCCAUUUAUUAUUUUAUUAUAUCGUGAUGAAUAUGAUCAUGGGUGAUGACGUAUUUAAAUGGUAGAAUCAUGGAUUUGGCUAUUGUUGGCUCACUGUUGAACAUUGGGAUUAAUUGGGUUUAAUGUGAUAAUGCUAUCUUCACCUUGUUGCUGCCUAUAUUAUGUCUGCCUAUAUUAUGGUUGAGUAUCAUGAUUUUCUCUAUUUUGUUACUGUUGAUUUCUAUUGAUGAUUGAGUUUAAUAGAGUUUAAUGUGAUAUUGCUAUCUUCAUCUUGUUGCUGCCUAUAUUUUUGCCUAUAUGUAUUGCUGCCUAUAUUUUGGAAUGUUGGGCCUAUAAUGGGAUUUAAUGGGUUAUAUAUUAUAUUGCUGUCCACUUAUGUUGCUAUCAAUUUUAUUGCAAUUUAUUAAUUAUUUCUAAUGUUAGAUUAACAUGUUAUCGGGGUACUCAUUGUAGCAGGUCAAAUACUUAUCAUGUGGGAGGGUUGGAUACUAUAGGAUUGCAUGCUAAAUUGACAUGUUAACUGUCUUGGUUAAAUAUCACAUUGUUGUCCUGUUUUGUGGUCGUCAAUGAUAUAGCAGAUUAUUGAUUUAUCCCUAUCUUAGAUAUGGUUUAUAUACUAUUGAGGGCAUGUUGGAUUUGCAUAAAGUCAUUUAUCAUUGCGGGCUGUUUCGAUUAAUUUAUUUCUGUUUAGAUAAUGAACAUGUUAUAGAGGUGUAUGUUUGGUUAGAAGUUAAGAUAUUUAUCAUGUGGUUUUGUUUUAAGUACAUGUUGAGUUAAAAUGAUGAUAGGAUUAAGGGGGGAAAUUUACAUGAAUGGACAAGGGAAUAAGAAUAGAAAUACAUGUACGAAUGGUUUAAUGAAUGAAUGAAAGGAUGCAUGAAUGAGAUAUGACCGAGGUGUUAUGACGCCUAUCCAAUGGUGAAUGACGAAUGACGAAUGACGAACGAUGAAUGAUGACCCAUAUGGGUUCAUGAAUGAUGCAUGAUUAAUACUAUUCAACUGUUACGCAUGUAUAAUGUUAAUUGAUAAUGUUAGAUAAUUGUUGGUGUUUAUGCUUUACAUACUGAGUGAUGUAAGCACUCACGGAUACAUGACAUGUUGCAGGGAAUGGAGGCAACCUUGCCUAACUGGGGUGGUAGGAGACAACAGACUCGUCGAGGUGACAAUGAUUGGGAAGGUUUUGAGGGGAAAAAAUGGGUUUCCAUUUUUUCUACGGAAACAUACCCGAUAGUUUCUUGCGGACGGACGAUGAUAGGUAGAAGCGUAGAUGACAACAUGUAGGGGAAGAUUUCUGGUUCGAUGUAGAAGACGUAGGCGAAAAAACAGGAACACCAGACGAACACUGUCGGAAAAUGGGUUUAUCGCCUGGGGGUGGGAGGGUUUUUGGAGGGGAGAGUGGAACUGAAAAUUAUAUAUUUUUUGAAUAAUAAUAAAUUUUACAUAUUUUUUUGAAUUUUACUAGGGGAGCUAUUAGGUAAUCUAUUGCUGAGCUAUUAGUACCUUCUAUGUCAGUAUCUAAUAUUUUAAUUUUUUUUCCCAACAGGUACCAUGCAAUAACCGGGUACUGCUUUUACAGGUAACUGCUUAAAAAAAUCGACAAUUCUGUUGCUCUUAUAAAACGGACGACCGUGAUGGUAGAGGGUUUUUAUAAGAACCCUUCAUACCUGAUACGGACCGUAUUGGUUAUAUGUUGGCUUGAGAAUUUUAAAAUUUGGCUGCGAUGGUCAUUUAUUCCUCCCUUGUAUGACUCACAAAAUUGAGUGAUUCUUCAACUAUAUAAAUAAAGGUUCAAACACACAUGGAUAUUCAUUACUUGCAAGCAUUAUCAAUCAUUCAUUCAACUUCCAAGCUCUCACUUGCUCUCGCUCUAGCCUUCAAAGUUUGAAAGCUGUCCAACAUUUGUUGAGAGGAGUUUUCGAAAGUUGUGUAUUUAAAGUUCAAUAUUUCUUGUAUUCUUUGUCAUUUAUCUAGUUAAAUAAAUAAAUAAAAAUUUAAAAGAAAUCCACA
RNAcentral lists this long non-coding RNA (2681 nucleotides) under Zostera marina. Its description in RNAcentral is "long non-coding RNA (ZMAR_LNC003344)". The record is from RNAcentral. Lineage: Eukaryota; Viridiplantae; Streptophyta; Magnoliopsida; Alismatales; Zosteraceae.